RNAcentral lists this transfer RNA (75 nucleotides) under Dehalococcoidia bacterium. Its description in RNAcentral is "tRNA-Pro". It matches the Rfam family "tRNA". Rfam says of the family: Transfer RNA (tRNA) molecules are approximately 80 nucleotides in length. Their secondary structure includes four short double-helical elements and three loops (D, anti-codon, and T loops). The record is from RNAcentral. Lineage: Bacteria; Bacillati; Chloroflexota; Dehalococcoidia.
CGGGGUGUAGCCCAGCGGUAGGGCGCCUGCUUUGGGAGCAGGAGAUCGGGAGUUCGAGUCUCCCCACCCCGACCA